UGUUUUUCAUUUGGACAAAAAUCGUGUUGCAUCUAAUUUUCUCGCCUUCGUUGCUUCGCCGAUUUCGCUCGGAUUUCCGGCCAAAUCAGAGCCAAAUCGAUCUCUGCUUCACCUAGAUUUGUGUUGUUUGAGUUGUGAUUGUCUCGGAGGUUUGAUCUUGCAAGUUAUCAUCGUCCUCAAUUGGCAUCUGAGUGAAAAGAAGAAGAAAGGAGCUAUGACAAUGUUCAAAUCUAUCUCGAUGGCUGUGUUGCUUGUUACACUUGUUGCAUCCAUUUCUAUGGUUUCUUCUACUGAUUCUUCCCCAUAAGCUGAAUUUGUUAAGAAGACCAUCUCUUCCCACAAAAUCGUCAUCUUCUCCAAAUCCUACUGCCCGUAUUGCAGGAACGCGAAAUCUGUGUUCAGAAAGCUGGAUCAAGUUCCGUAUGUUGUGGAGCUCGAUGAAAGAGGUCUGUUUUAAGAUUAUAGUGAAUCAUUUUUUCAUCAUCCAAGUAUGUUUUUUAAUGAGACCUUUAGUCUCAUGACAUUUUUGUUACUCUAAACUUUGAUGGAUUAUUAUAUAUAAGAUAGUAGUAUUUUAUUGGUUA
Molecule: long non-coding RNA, 584 nt
Organism: Arabidopsis lyrata subsp. lyrata
Lineage: Eukaryota; Viridiplantae; Streptophyta; Magnoliopsida; Brassicales; Brassicaceae
Exons: 3
Source: RefSeq, a predicted model, not a curated record